GACGAUGCGUAGGGGUUCUGAGAGGAAGGUCCCCCACACUGGUACUGAGACACGGACCAGACUCCUACGGGAGGCAGCAGUGAGGAAUAUUGGUCAAUGGCCGGAAGGCUGAACCAGCCAAGCCGCGUGAAGGAUGAAGGUGCCAAGCAUUGUAAACUUCUUUUGUCAAGGGACAAAAUCAGGCUCGAGAGCCUGACCGAGGGUACUUGAAGAAAAAGCAUCGGCUAACUCCGUGCCAGCAGCCGCGGUAAUACGGAGGAUGCGAGCGUUAUCCGGAUUUAUUGGGUUUAAAGGGUGCGUAGGCGGACUGUUAAGUCAGCGGUAAAAGCCCGGGGCUCAACCCCGGCGAGCCGUUGAAACUGGCUGUCUUGAGACGUCGAGAGGUAUGCGGAAUGCGCAGUGUAGCGGUGAAAUGCUUAGAUAUUGCGCAGAACUCCGAUUGCGAAGGCAGCAUACCGGCGGCGAUCUGACGCUGAGGCACGAAAGCGUGGGUAUCGAACAGGAUUAGAUACCCUGGUAGUCCACGCAGUAAACGAUGAAUACUGGCUGUGUGGCCCGACAGAG
This 564-nucleotide ribosomal RNA is filed under the name uncultured bacterium. RNAcentral's name for it is "bacterial SSU rRNA". It matches the Rfam family "Bacterial small subunit ribosomal RNA", at positions 275 to 837 of the family's 1533-position model. The record is from RNAcentral.